Molecule: ribosomal RNA, 350 nt
Filed under: uncultured bacterium
Lineage: Bacteria
Description: bacterial SSU rRNA
Rfam family: Bacterial small subunit ribosomal RNA
Source: RNAcentral
GGUGUAUAGUUAAUAGCAUUACACUGUGACGUUAGCUACAGAAGAAGCACCGGCAAACUCCGUGCCAGCAGCCGCGGUAAUACGGAGGGUGCGAGCGUUAAUCGGAAUUACUGGGCGUAAAGCGCGCGUAGGCGGUUAUUUAAGUGAGGUGUGAAAUCCCUGGGCUCAACCUAGGAACUGCAUUUCAAACUGGAUAACUUGAGUAUGUCAGAGGGUAUUGGAAUUUCCCGUGUAGCAGUGAAAUGCGUAGAUAUGGGAAGGAACAUCAGUGGCGAAGGCGAAUACCUGGGAUAAUACUGACGCUGAGGUGCGAAAGCGUGGGGAGCAAACGGGAUUAGAUACCCUGGUAG